RNAcentral lists this transfer RNA (72 nucleotides) under Candidatus Levybacteria bacterium RIFCSPHIGHO2_01_FULL_40_16. RNAcentral's name for it is "tRNA-Val". It matches the Rfam family "tRNA". From Rfam's summary of the family: Transfer RNA (tRNA) molecules are approximately 80 nucleotides in length. The record is from RNAcentral. RNAcentral also lists the same sequence under 1 other name. Lineage: Bacteria; Candidatus Levyibacteriota.
GGACUUGUAGUUCAGAGGUAGAACGCUCGCUUCACAUGCGAGAGCUCGAUGGUUCGAGUCCAUCCAAGUCCA